CCUACGGGGGGCUGCAGUCGAGAAUUUUUGGCAAUGGGCGAAAGCCUGACCAAGCGAUGCCGCGUGCGGGAUGAAGGCCUUCGGGUUGUAAACCGCUGUCAGUGGGGAGGAAAGCUUUGUGAAGAGCAGAGCUUGACCUAUCCGCAGAGGAAGUGUGGGCUAAGUUCGUGCCAGCAGCCGCGGUAAGACGAACCACACAAACGUUAUUCGGAAUUACUGGGCUUAAAGGGUGCGUAGGCUGCGCAGUAAGUUGGGUGUGAAAUACCUCGGCUCAACCGAGGAACUGCGCCCAAAACUACUGUGCUUGAGGAAGAUAGAGGUAAGCGGAACUUACGGUGGAGCGGUGAAAUGCGUUGAUAUCGUAAGGAACACCUGUGGCGAAAGCGGCUUACUGGGUCUUUUCUGACGCUGAUGCACGAAAGCUAGGGGAGCAAACGGGAUUAGAUACCCCAGUAGUC
Molecule: ribosomal RNA, 458 nt
Filed under: uncultured bacterium
Lineage: Bacteria
Description: bacterial SSU rRNA
Rfam family: Bacterial small subunit ribosomal RNA
Source: RNAcentral